RNAcentral lists this ribosomal RNA (279 nucleotides) under uncultured bacterium. Its description in RNAcentral is "partial 16S ribosomal RNA". It matches the Rfam family "Bacterial small subunit ribosomal RNA", at positions 506 to 784 of the family's 1533-position model. The record is from RNAcentral.
UGCCAGCAGCCGCGGUAACACGGGGGGCGCAAGCGUUAUUCGGAAUUAUUGGGCGUAAAGGGCGCGCAGGCGGUCUUGUCAGUCAGAUGUGAAAGCCCGGGGCUCAACCUCGGACGUGCAUUUGAAACAGCAAGACUUGAGUACGGUAGAGGAAAGCGGAAUUCCUGGUGUAGAGGUGAAAUUCGUAGAUAUCAGGAGGAACACCGGUGGCGAAGGCGAGAUGCUGGACACUAACUGACGCUGAGACACGAAGGCCAGGGUAGCGAAAGGGAUUAGAUA